AAUUAAAAAAGAAAAGCCAAGCCAAAUCAGUGAGGCAGAACAAAUAUUACUAUUCUAAAACGUUAUAAAAGGCAUCCUCAUUUACAUACAGACCAUCCUGGAGGGGAGGGGGGAAGCCAAAGUGACUUAGCAGGGGAGGCUGGGGCGGUGAGGUGGGGGUGGGGUGUCUGGGGUCCAGAGAGAAAUAAACAGGAUCUCCUUCCGGACGUUCACAAAAAAAUAUGCAGAGCCCUUUAAAGCUGCAUUCACAAUCUAAGCUACUUCUGCGACUCUGUUGUUAAUUUUAGAAAAUAAGAAUUGGAGGAAAGAGCGUGGUUGGAUUUCAUAAGUCUUGAGAGAAACUUCCCUCUGGCUUGUGUACCUCGAGUGGCUCUUUUCUUCCCCGCCUCCGUCUUUCGCUCUCCCCUCCUCCCAGUGUUACCAGGCUUUCUCCAUAAAGCUCCCAUCCUCCACCCCUCCACCGGUUCCCCACCUCCCUCCCCGCGCUGGGGGGCUGUGGGAGACACACAGACCUCCCCCCUCGGUCUGCCUUCUCCUCUAGCCCUUGGGCCUCCCCUGGCUGCUUCCGGGCCAACCUCUUAGCUGUCUCCGUGAGGCCUCCGAAUGCACCCCUGUGGCUCCCUGAUGUUUACCUUCCAAGUUGAAAAGUUUAAUUGCAGCCCCAAGUGAGGCCUAGGAGGCUGAGCAGGGGUGGGGGGCGGGGAGGGAGGAAGUAAUAAGGUCCCGACCGGCAGGAGGCCAUCCAUUGGCCACCGAGAGGCAGUGACUGUGCCCGGGGUGGGGUGGGGGCCCUGGGGUGCCCACUGCUGAUUAUGAUUAACCAGCCCGCGAGAGCCAAGGGCUGCUCAUUCCUUCUCUGAAAACGCACGUUUCCCCCCCAAACCCUUUAGCUCGGGACUCUCGCUUUUUUCUUUCUGGGGCCAAUUCUCCAAUUCCAUAUGUCUGUUUUAACUGAGGAGUGCUGGGGGAGCACAGAUGGCGAGGAAGAAGCUCACGAGGUAAAGUCGCACUGUCCCGCUGCGUCCCAGCAAAACCUUGGUGGUUUGGCGGUGACAUGUUUGCAGCGGCCUGGAAGGGGAAAGAAGGGAAACUCUGCUUCCUUGGACGUGUGAAAUCCAAUCUUUUUGCCAUCCUUGAAAAAUGAAGGGGUCGCUGGUUCACUGUGCUGUUUGGAACCAUCAGUCUCGGCUCGGCUAUUUCCUUAUGCGCAAGGUCUGCAAGCGGAAAAUCAAAACGGAGAUGAAUUUUUCCGGCAUCUGAGGUCUAAGGAGGAAAUGUUUUGCCGCGUGGGCCAUCGCCUCUGGGCAAGGUGGGAUUGGCCGGAAGGUCAGUUGUUGGGCCCGUUUCUAAAGGCGUUGAUGCCUCGGUUUCUCCAUUCGCUCCCCCUUUGCUAUCAACCGGUCCUAAGCAACCAGGUCGGAAGACAUUUAAUAUUUGUAUUCACGAAGAUUCCCUCCUCUACCAAAUUACUCGGCUCCGCUGAAUGUUGCAAGCAGGACCUUGACUUUCGGUCUCUCAUCUUCACCUCUGCAUUGCCCCAUUUUGGCGACAAUCCUGCCGAGUCAACACAGCCAGGAUCCCUGACCUUUGCUAUCUGGAUCCAGUUUCUUAUCCUCCACCAUCCCCCAGAGGAUUUCUGAUCCCUUCAGCCUGCCUUCGGCAAGAAUCCUCCUUGGUCCACUUAGCAAGAAUCUCCCUUUACCCCUGAUGUUUCCUCUUAAUAAUAUCCAUCCACUGGCUCCCACCCUGCCCCGUGGCUAUCAAUCUCAUGUGCCCAUGUGGUACUCAGACUUGAGUCCAAUGCUCCCCGUUACAGUGGUCCCUAGUCCUUAUUGCCUUGAAUAAAAUCUUCCUUGCCGUGA
Molecule: long non-coding RNA, 1862 nt
Organism: Leopardus geoffroyi (Geoffroy's cat)
Lineage: Eukaryota; Metazoa; Chordata; Mammalia; Carnivora; Felidae
Exons: 2
Source: RefSeq, a predicted model, not a curated record